This 350-nucleotide ribosomal RNA is filed under the name uncultured bacterium. RNAcentral's name for it is "bacterial SSU rRNA". It matches the Rfam family "Bacterial small subunit ribosomal RNA", at positions 29 to 408 of the family's 1533-position model. The record is from RNAcentral.
AACGAACGCUGGCGGCAGGCUUAACACAUGCAAGUCGAGCGCCCCGCAAGGGGAGCGGCAGACGGGUGAGUAACGCGUGGGAACAUACCCUUUGGUUCGGAAUAACUCAGGGAAACUUGAGCUAAUACCGGAUACGUCCGUAAGGAGAAAGAUUUAUCGCCAAAGGAUUGGCCCGCGUCCGAUUAGCUAGUUGGUGAGGUAACGGCUCACCAAGGCUACGAUCGGUAGCUGGUCUGAGAGGAUGAUCAGCCACAUUGGGACUGAGACACGGCCCAAACUCCUACGGGAGGCAGCAGUGGGGAAUAUUGGACAAUGGGCGCAAGCCUGAUCCAGCCAUGCCGCGUGAGUGA